RNAcentral lists this ribosomal RNA (449 nucleotides) under uncultured bacterium. RNAcentral's name for it is "partial 16S ribosomal RNA". It matches the Rfam family "Bacterial small subunit ribosomal RNA", at positions 29 to 523 of the family's 1533-position model. The record is from RNAcentral.
AACGAACGCUGGCGGCAGGCUUAACACAUGCAAGUCGAACGCAUCCUUCGGGGUGAGUGGCAGACGGGUGAGUAACGCGUGGGAACGUGCCCUUCAGUUCGGGAUAACCCAGGGAAACUUGGGCUAAUACCGGAUACGUGCGAGAGCAGAAAGAUUUAUCGCUGAAGGAUCGGCCCGCGUCUGAUUAGCUAGUUGGUGGGGUAAUGGCCCACCAAGGCGACGAUCAGUAGCUGGUCUGAGAGGAUGAUCAGCCACAUUGGGACUGAGACACGGCCCAAACUCCUACGGGAGGCAGCAGUGGGGAAUAUUGGACAAUGGGCGCAAGCCUGAUCCAGCCAUGCCGCGUGAGUGAUGAAGGCCUUAGGGUUGUAAAGCUCUUUCGGCGGGGACGAUGGUGACGGUACCCGCAGAAGAAGCCCCGGCUAACUUCGUGCCAGCCGCCGCAGUAA